This is a long non-coding RNA of Oreochromis niloticus (Nile tilapia), 374 nucleotides long. RefSeq lists it as uncharacterized. The transcript is spliced from 2 exons. NCBI's taxonomy places the organism in Eukaryota, Metazoa, Chordata, Actinopteri, Cichliformes, Cichlidae. The record is from RefSeq and is a predicted model, not a curated record.
CUCUCACCUGUCUGCCUGGGCGGAGCUCAGCUGGGCUCCCGCCCUUGGCCCACGCACCUGCUGUGAAUUCACCUGAUUACCUGGACUCCUGGGCUAUUUAAGCUGAGGACUCAGAAGGCUUCUUCGCUGGAUCGUUGAGUUACUCUCACUCGUCUGUACCCCCGAUCUGUUUUCCUGGUGGCAUGGUGUGGAGUGGAGUGAGAGUGAGUGUGCAAACAAACGUGUGAAACACAUACGAGAGGAGCGAGUGAGCGGAGCGUGUUUUGGACUUUCUCCCCUUUUUCCCCUGGACCGCUGCAUACCCCUGCCCUGUACACUGUAUAGACUUUCACGUGGUGUUUUGUAAAUAAAUUGACGACUGCUAUUCUAGUUCA